UUCCGGUUGAUCCUGCCGGAGGCUACCGCUAUUGGAGUUCGAUUAAGCCAUGCGAGUCGAGAGUCUUAGGGACUCGGCGUACCGCUCAGUAACACGUGGGUAACCUGCCCUAUGCUGGGGAAUAACCUCGGGAAACUGAGAAUAAUACCCCAUAGUUCACCACGCCUGGAACGGUGGGUGGAUGAAAGCUCCGGCGGCAUAGGAUGGGCCUGCGACGUAUCAGGUUGUAGGGGGUGUAACGUACCCUCUAGCCAUCAACGCGUACGGGUGUUGGGAGACAUAGCCCGGAGAUGGAUUCUGAGACACGAAUCCAGACCCUACGGGGUGCAGCAGGCGCGAAAACUUGGCAAUGCGAGCAAUCGUGACCAGGGAACUCCAAGUGGCUGGGGUAAUACCCAGUUUUUUCUUGACUCUUCAAAGGUCUUGGAAUAAGGGGUGGGUAAGGACGGUGCCAGCCGCCGCGGUAAUACCGGCGCCUCAAGUGGUAGUCGCUUUUAUUGGGCCUAAAACGUCCGUAGCCGGUCUGGUGCAUUCGUGGGUAAAUCAACCCGCUCAACGGGUUGAAUUCUGCGAGCACGGCCAGACUUGGGACCGGGAGAGGUGUGGGGUACUCUCAGGGUAGGGGUAAAAUCCUGUCAUCCUGAGAGGACCACCUGUUGC
This 660-nucleotide ribosomal RNA is filed under the name uncultured Candidatus Poseidoniales archaeon. RNAcentral's name for it is "bacterial SSU rRNA". It matches the Rfam family "Archaeal small subunit ribosomal RNA", at positions 1 to 667 of the family's 1478-position model. Lineage: Archaea; Methanobacteriati; Thermoplasmatota; Candidatus Poseidoniia; Candidatus Poseidoniales. The record is from RNAcentral.